RNAcentral lists this ribosomal RNA (446 nucleotides) under uncultured bacterium. RNAcentral describes it as "bacterial SSU rRNA". It matches the Rfam family "Bacterial small subunit ribosomal RNA", at positions 29 to 523 of the family's 1533-position model. The record is from RNAcentral.
AACGAACGCUGGCGGCAGGCUUAACACAUGCAAGUCGAACGCCCCGCAAGGGGGAGUGGCAGACGGGUGAGUAACACGUGGGAACGUGCCCUUCGCUUCGGGAUAGCCUCGGGAAACUGGGAGUAAUACCGAAUACGCCGUAUUGGGAAAGAUAUAUCGGCGAAGGAUCGGCCCGCGUUGGAUUAGCUAGUUGGCGGUGUAAUGGACCACCAAGGCUACGAUCCAUAGCUGGUCUGAGAGGACGACCAGCCACACUGGGACUGAGACACGGCCCAGACUCCUACGGGAGGCAGCAGUGGGGAAUCUUGGACAAUGGGCGCAAGCCUGAUCCAGCCAUGCCGCGUGAGUGAAGAAGGCCUAGGGUUGUAAAACUCUUUCGCCGGUGAAGAUAAUGACGGUAACCGGAGAAGAAGCCCCGGCUAACUUCGUGCCAGCAGCCGCGGUAA